This 253-nucleotide ribosomal RNA is filed under the name uncultured bacterium. RNAcentral's name for it is "partial 16S ribosomal RNA". It matches the Rfam family "Bacterial small subunit ribosomal RNA", at positions 524 to 776 of the family's 1533-position model. The record is from RNAcentral.
UACGAAGGGGGCUAGCGUUGCUCGGAAUUACUGGGCGUAAAGGGAGCGUAGGCGGAUAGUUUAGUCAGAGGUGAAAGCCCAGGGCUCAACCCUGGAAUUGCCUUUGAUACUGGCUAUCUUGAGUAUGGGAGAGGUUAGCGGAACUCCGAGUGUAGAGGUGAAAUUCGUAGAUAUUCGGAAGAACACCAGUGGCGAAGGCGGCUAACUGGCCCAUUACUGACGCUGAGGCUCGAAAGCGUGGGGAGCAAACAGG